This is a long non-coding RNA of Homo sapiens (human), 659 nucleotides long. Ensembl annotates it as PMS1 homolog 2, mismatch repair system component pseudogene 4. Its record names the gene PMS2P4. Lineage: Eukaryota; Metazoa; Chordata; Mammalia; Primates; Hominidae. The record is from Ensembl.
GGAGGGAACUUUCCCAGGCCCCGAGGCGGAUCGGGUAUUGAGUCCAUGGAGCGAGCUGAGAGCUAGAGUACAGAACCUGCUAAGGCCAUCAAACCUAUCGAUCGGAAGUCAGUCCAUCAGAUUUGCUCUGGGCCGGUGGUACUGAGUCUAAGCACUGCGGUGAAGGAGUUAGUAGAAAACAGUCUGGAUGCUGGUGCCACCAAUAUUGAUCUAAAGCUUAAGGACUAUGGAGUGGAUCUCAUUGAAGUUUCAGACAAUGGAUGUGGGGUAGAAGAAGAAAACUUUGAAGGCUUAACGAUGUCACCAUUUCUACCUGCCACGCAUCGGCGAAGGUUGGGACUCGACUGGUGUUUGAUCACGAUGGGAAAAUCAUCCAGAAAACCCCCUACCCCCACCCCAGAGGGACCACAGUCAGCGUGAAGCAGUUAUUUUCUACACUACCUGUGCACCAUAAGGAAUUUCAAAGGAAUAUUAAGAAGGACUCCUAGAAGGACCCCACCCCCCUCCCCCAACCCCUGCUCCCAGGAGGACACGUGAUCACUGUAUUCAGCUCCAUCAAGAAUGGUCCAGGUUCUUCUAGAUGAUCUGCACAAAUGGUUCCUCUUCUCCUUCCUGGUGUCUGCCAUUAGCAUUGGAAUAAAGUUCCUGCUGAAAAUCCA